Molecule: long non-coding RNA, 1565 nt
Organism: Vespa mandarinia (Asian giant hornet)
Lineage: Eukaryota; Metazoa; Arthropoda; Insecta; Hymenoptera; Vespidae
Gene: InR-2
Source: RefSeq, a predicted model, not a curated record
CGAAAGAAAAAAAAAGAGAGAGAGAGAGAGAGAAACAAAAUGAAUUAUAUUUGAAUGUGCAUUCGCAAGAUGGCGACGGAUAGUGCAAAACUAAGAGCGUACCGAAAUGACGGAAUAAAUAGUAAACAUUGGCGCUGCAAUCGGAACGGCAUGGGUAAAGACGAACGACGGGCGGAAGAUGCGCGUAGAGUCAUUGCGCAGGCUCUUGUUUUGCUCGACAGUAUAACGGCAAGGGACGUGGAGGAGAGUUCGUUAUUGGUUGGAGUUAAGUGAAGUGGGGUGAGAGGAGUGGAGAGGGGAUAGCGAGGCACGCUCUCACGGGGCAUGGCGUGGUGUGCGUUCUAGUAAACAACUUGUGCGCGACUCGCGCGGAUAGAAUUCGUUUGGUCUCGACAAAUUUUUCCUCCUUUUUUUUCUCUUUCUUAUUUAUAUAUAUAUAUAUACAUGUAUAUAUAUAUAUGUAUGUCUCUAUGUGUGUGUUAUGUGUAUAUGGAUAAGUACAUGUAUGGAUACAAACAAAUACAGUAAUAAAAGAAGACAGACAGACACGCGUACACAGAGAAAGAAAGAAAGAGAAAGAGAGAGAGUGAAAGAGACAUAAACAGAUUAAUAAAAAUAUAUAAAAGUGUUGUGUGUUGGUGUAUAUAAAUUGUACUAUUAAUGAGCAUGGAAUGCCGAGUAAAUAUUCUACGUAUCUUAUGUGUGUGUGUAUGUGUAUGUGUAUUUUCGUGAAUUUUGUGUGUAUACAUGUGUUACUUUAUUAAACAAAGAAGAAAAUAAAUAAAUAAAUAAAUAAAUAAAUAUAUAUAUAUACAUACAUAUAUACGUACACAUACAUACGUACAUUCAUACAUAUGUAACUAUACGACGACGAUAUUCGAAUGGAAUAACUUUCGAAUAUCACCGAAGUGGACAUCGUGGAUGAAAAUAGAGCAUCUUCAAGGGAUUUUCAAUCGUGGGUGAUGGUACGCCGCACCAUUUUAUCGUCGUCAACAACGUUGUCGUCGUCGUCAACAUCAUCAACAUCGUCAACGUCGUAGACGUCUUAGUGCCGUCGUAACACGCCGUCUCGAAAGUAACGCCAUCGGGGAUCCAAAAAAAAAAAAAAAAAGAAAAGAAAAAGAAAAAAGAAGAAGAAGAAGAAGAAAAAAGAAGAAAAUACGGAAAAUAAAAGGGAGACAGAUAGAGCACUAGCAACGAACAAUAACGUCAACAACAACAACAACAACAGCAACAACAGCAACUUUUAAGAGCCGCUACGAGAUUGACUAAUCGAAUAAACGGCAAUUAGGAAUACGUCGUGCUAACGACGCACGACGUAUCGAACGAUCUCUUGAUGGGAGGACGUAGAAAAAGACGAAGAUUGGCCACGAUCGAGAAAGGAGGAGUAUUAAUAAUAAUAACUGUACUAGUGGUAACAGUCGUCGUUAUUAUUUUUCUUAUUAUUAUUCUUCCACAAUUAUUUGAAUCGACGUUGUCGUCAUUGUCAUCGUUGUCGUCGUCAUUGAUAAUAGAUUCGUCGAAGAAAUCAAUGAACAAAGUUUCUACGUCAACGAGAAAAACAA